Molecule: ribosomal RNA, 674 nt
Filed under: Vibrio vulnificus
Lineage: Bacteria; Pseudomonadati; Pseudomonadota; Gammaproteobacteria; Vibrionales; Vibrionaceae
Description: bacterial SSU rRNA
Rfam family: Bacterial small subunit ribosomal RNA
Source: RNAcentral
CCGCCUGGGGAGUACGGUCGCAAGAUUAAAACUCAAAUGAAUUGACGGGGGCCCGCACAAGCGGUGGAGCAUGUGGUUUAAUUCGAUGCAACGCGAAGAACCUUACCUACUCUUGACAUCCAGAGAAGCCAGCGGAGACGCAGGUGUGCCUUCGGGAACUCUGAGACAGGUGCUGCAUGGCUGUCGUCAGCUCGUGUUGUGAAAUGUUGGGUUAAGUCCCGCAACGAGCGCAACCCUUAUCCUUGUUUGCCAGCGAGUAAUGUCGGGAACUCCAGGGAGACUGCCGGUGAUAAACCGGAGGAAGGUGGGGACGACGUCAAGUCAUCAUGGCCCUUACGAGUAGGGCUACACACGUGCUACAAUGGCGCAUACAGAGGGCGGCCAACUUGCGAAAGUGAGCGAAUCCCAAAAAGUGCGUCGUAGUCCGGAUUGGAGUCUGCAACUCGACUCCAUGAAGUCGGAAUCGCUAGUAAUCGUGGAUCAGAAUGCCACGGUGAAUACGUUCCCGGGCCUUGUACACACCGCCCGUCACACCAUGGGAGUGGGCUGCAAAAGAAGUGGGUAGUUUAACCUUCGGGAGGACGCUCACCACUUUGUGGUUCAUGACUGGGGUGAAGUCGUAACAAGGUAGCGCUAGGGGAACCUGGCGCUGGAUCACCUCCUUAUACGAUGAU